GACGAACCGUGCGAACGUUGUUCGGAUUCACUGGGCUUAAAGGGCGCGUAGGCGGCCAACUAAGUCAGACGUGAAAUCCCACGGCUUAACCGUGGAACUGCUGGGUAUACUGGGUGUCUUGAGCCACUCAGGGGCUACCGGAACAAACGGUGGAGCGGUGAAAUGCGUAGAUAUCGUUUGGAACGCCAAUGGUGAAAACAGGUAGCUGGGGGUGUGCUGACACUGAGACACGAAAGCCAGGGGAGCAAACGGG
This 253-nucleotide ribosomal RNA is filed under the name uncultured bacterium. RNAcentral's name for it is "partial 16S ribosomal RNA". It matches the Rfam family "Bacterial small subunit ribosomal RNA", at positions 524 to 776 of the family's 1533-position model. The record is from RNAcentral.